This 244-nucleotide ribosomal RNA is filed under the name uncultured bacterium. Its description in RNAcentral is "partial 16S ribosomal RNA". It matches the Rfam family "Bacterial small subunit ribosomal RNA", at positions 15 to 244 of the family's 1533-position model. The record is from RNAcentral.
GAUCCUGGCUCAGGACGAACGCUGGCGGCGUGCCUAAUACAUGCAAGUCGAGCGAAGUUUUUUCUGGUGCUUGCACUAGAAAAACUUAGCGGCGAACGGGUGAGUAACACGUAAAGAACCUGCCUCAUAGACGGGGACAACUAUUGGAAACGAUAGCUAAUACCGGAUAACAGCAUAAAUCGCAUGAUAUAUGUUUAAAAGUUGGUUUCGGCUAACACUAUGAGAUGGCUUUGCGGUGCAUUAG